RNAcentral lists this long non-coding RNA (235 nucleotides) under Lathyrus oleraceus (garden pea). RNAcentral describes it as "Pisum sativum (pea) long non-coding RNA (PSAT_LNC002167)". The record is from RNAcentral. Lineage: Eukaryota; Viridiplantae; Streptophyta; Magnoliopsida; Fabales; Fabaceae.
CUUGAACUUUCUUCAAAUUAUUCUCAGACACAUAGCAUUGCCUUAACAAUUCAGCAUAAGAAGUGAAUUCCCUUUGAGAUACACUAUGAGAAAUUUCACCCCUUAGACCAAACAGAAACUGAUCAAUCUUCCACCUCUCAUCAGGUGCUUACACGACUUGCCUAGAGUAAGCAGCUAUAUCUUCGAACUUCUCGGCAUACGUAACUACUGACAUAGUACCCUGCCUAAGCUGUUG